GAUGAAGAACGCAGCGAAAUGCGAUACUUGGUGUGAAUUGCAGAAUCCCGUGAACCAUCGAGUCUUUGAACGCAAGUUGCGCCCGAAGCCAUUAGGCCGAGGGCACGCCUGCCUGGGCGUCACACGUCGUUGCCCCCCAUCUACUCCUUCGGGAUUGCGGGGGGCGGAUGAUGGCCUCCCGUGCGCCUCGUCGCGCGGUUGGCAUAAAUGCCAAGUCCUCGGCGACGCACGCCACGACAAUCGGUGGUUGCGAAACCUCGGUUGCCCGUCGUGUGCGGUCGUCGCGCAUCGAGGGCUCGAAAAAAUUGCCGGGCUCCGGCUCGGCUUUCAACGCGACCCCAGGUUAGGCGGGGUUACCCGCUGAAUUUAAGCAUAUCAAUAAGCGGAGGA
RNAcentral lists this unclassified non-coding RNA (390 nucleotides) under soil metagenome. RNAcentral describes it as "partial contains 5.8S ribosomal RNA, internal transcribed spacer 2, and large subunit ribosomal RNA". The stretch from base 1 to 122 matches the Rfam family "5.8S ribosomal RNA", at positions 35 to 154 of the family's 154-position model. The record is from RNAcentral.